Molecule: small RNA, 457 nt
Filed under: Arabidopsis thaliana (thale cress)
Lineage: Eukaryota; Viridiplantae; Streptophyta; Magnoliopsida; Brassicales; Brassicaceae
Description: ATSL250470
Source: RNAcentral
AUAAAACUUCAAAAAUAUUUAAUAUCAUUUAAUUACUACAAAAUUAUCAUUUUUGAUAUUGCUUUUCUUCAUAAUUAUAACAAUUCGAUUAUAAUCAUCAAAGCGCAGAGAUAUUUGAUAGCAUUUAAUUACUACAAAAUUACAAAAUAUUUAGACAAUAAUUCAUAAACAUAUCAUAAAUAAGAUCAACAUUAAUAAAAUAAAUGGUUUUUUUACGGACUGGUUAGUGGGACGGGUUUGAUAGGACGUUACUUAAUAACAAUUGUAAACUAUAAAAUAAAAAUAUUUUAUAGAUAGAUACAAUUUGCAAACUUUUAUGUAUACUACCCUUAAAAAAUAAAUUGUUUCCGCGGUGUACCGCGGAUUAAAAUCUAGUAUUCAUAUAAAAAUGCUUGCUACAAAAUAUUUAGAGAGGAAGAAGCCUUGUGAGAAAAGGCACAAGUUUAAUUCAUGUUUU